UUAACAGAAAUGUAUUUGUUCCAUGACCUCUGCACUGCAUGGAGCUGUUCAUUUCCAGUAUCUAUUCAAUAGAACUGUGCUAUUGGCUGUUCUAUGAGCAAAUACAAAACGUUAAAUGGAGGAAUCUUGAAAACAUGAGAGCAGUUUUUUUUUAAACAUUCUGAUGCAGUUCAAACCAUGGCUUGAUGGGCUCUUGGUGGCCCUCUGUUUCCUGUACCGGUGGUAGGUGGACUUGUUACCCACAGAAAAAAAGAAAUGUGUUGAUGCAUUCACAUCCUAUGGACAGUUCUUUCAGGAACUGACAGGAAACAAUGAAAAAGAGAACAGCUCUAACAAUUCUAUGUUGUGAGUAGAAAUGUAUUUUAUCCACUUGGUAGAUACAUUGUAUAUAUUUGAUUACGUUUCAGUAUUCUGUUAAUUAAUAAGGGUUAAAACCUUUAAAUGUCCAUGCUCUGAGGCUUUGGGAGCAGGUCAAAAUGAGAUUCUAGUGAAACCAGGGGACACAUCAGCUGUGACAUUACCCUGGAGGACGAGAUCAUGUGGUUUUCGAGGCAGUGUAUUACACAGGCCUGUUCAGAAGCAAUCUGAGCAUACUGACCAUCUCAGAGAGCGACGUGGGUCUGUACUACUGUGUUGAGCAGAGGGCUAACAUAUUUGAGAUCGGAAGUGGGACCAAGCACUCCCUUAUCAGUGGUGAUCAGCUCUCUACUACUGUUGUUGGAAUGAAGUUGUCAUGGUUUAUCACCUUGAUCAUAGCCCCCAUGUUCUUUGUGCUGGGGUCCGUUCUCGGUGUCUGCCUGUUGACGACCUGAUCCUGACAAAUGUGGAUUCUGGAACAACUUGGUUGAAGCCUGCCAUCUAGUGGACCAAUAUCCAGAAUAGCACAUAAAUUAUGUGAUGGACCUGAGCCCUAGGACCAUGCCCCAGGACUACCUGACAUGAUGACUCCUUGCUGUCCCCAGUCCACCUGACUGUGCUGCUGCUCCAGUUUAAACUAUUCUGCCUUAUUAUUAUUAUUGGUCAUUUAUGAACAUUUGAACAUCUUGACCAUGUUUUGUUAUAAUCUCCACCCGGCACAGCCAGAAGAGGACUGACCACCCCACAUAGCCUGGUUCCUCUCUAGGUGUCUUCCUAGGUUUUGGCCUUUCUAGGGAGUUUUUCCUAGCCACCGUGCUUCUACACCUGCAUUGCUUGCUGUUUGGGGUUUUAGGCUGGGUUUCUGUACAGCACUUUGAGAUAUCAGCUGAUGUACGAAGGGCUAUAUAAAUACAUUUGAUUUUAUUUGAUUUGAUUAGGGUAGAGGACCAAACAUAAUAAAAUUGAAAGAUGACAAAA
Oncorhynchus mykiss (rainbow trout) is the source of this 1335-nucleotide long non-coding RNA. RefSeq lists it as uncharacterized. NCBI's taxonomy places the organism in Eukaryota, Metazoa, Chordata, Actinopteri, Salmoniformes, Salmonidae. The record is from RefSeq and is a predicted model, not a curated record.